CUUUCAACCCCAAAGCCACUUGGUGGUAUGGGUUUCCGGGAUAUGUCAUUGUUUAAUCAAGCGAUGCUCGGUAAGCAGGGCUGGAGACUUCUAACGGAACCUGAUUCUUUAUGCGCCCGUGUCUUGAAAGGAAGGUAUUUUCCGACUGGGAACUUUUGGAGUGCCUCAGCACCUCGGACUGCAUCGGCAACUUGGCGUGCUAUCCUUCAUGGCCGAGAGCUGUUGAAACAAGGUGUACAGUGGGGUGUUGGUGAUGGAAGAAGCGUUCAUAUUUUGUCUGAUCAUUGGAUACCGUCUACUCCACCGAUAGUGCUGCACACUAUUUCACCCAUCCCGGCGACGACCACGGUCCAUUGUCUUGUCGACAAAGAGAACAUAUGCUGGGAUGAAGGAAUGGUGAGGGCUUUCUUUUCUGAAAGAGUGGCUUAUGAGAUCCUUCAUAUUCCAAUUCACGGGAUAGGCAGUCCAGAUUAUGUCUGUCUGGUCUCCUUAUAA
RNAcentral lists this ribosomal RNA (495 nucleotides) under Triticum aestivum (bread wheat). RNAcentral describes it as "partial small subunit ribosomal RNA". The record is from RNAcentral. Lineage: Eukaryota; Viridiplantae; Streptophyta; Magnoliopsida; Poales; Poaceae.